UGAAAAUAGACCUUGUCCCUGUAAACCUGCUAUGCUUCUGCAGUCACUCAGACAUGAGCAGCUAGAAGGGUGGAGAACUGCUAUUGAUCAUCUGCCACAUGCCAGGCAUCGAGCCUCAUAUAUUAUCUCAUUAAAUCCUUGCAAAGGCCCUUGCAUUAGGUGCUGUUAUCACCAUGUUACAAGUGAAGAUGGGCAGUUAAGAAUGCACUCUGUCUGCCUCUCUUUUUCCAAUGAGUGAUAACCAAGUUUUCUGUCUCAAACAGUUAAAUGAGACACUUCUAAGAGCCCACCAAGUUCUUCUGAGGGCAGGAAAGUUAUUUUUUGUUUUCAAAAUAGCUGCUUCCACAGAUGACGCCCAAAUAUUUAGUUUUCUUUUUGAAAAAUUAAUUCUUUUUUAAACUUAAUAACAUUUACCAUUUUUUCUUUGUUCCCCAUUACUUAUACAUUCCAUUUCUUCUGGUUUCAAUUUCUUUUUGGAUACAUUCUUUUCUUUUUUUUUUUUUUUUAUUAUACUUUAAGUUUUAGGGUACACGUGCACAUUGUGCAGGUUACUUACAUAUGUAUACAUGUGCCAUGCUGGUGCGCUGCACCCAGUAACUCAUCAUCUAGCAGUAGGUAUAUCUCCCGAUGCUAUCCCUCCCCCUUCCCCCCACCCCACAACAGUCCCCAGAGUGUGAUAUUCCCCUUCCUGUGUCCAUGUGAUCUCAUUGUUCAAUUCCCACCUAUGAGUGAGAAUAUGCGGUGUUUGGUUUUUUGUUCUUGCGAUAGUUUACUGAGAAUGAUGAUUUCCAAUUUCAUCCAUGUCCCUACAAAGGACAUGAACUCAUCCUUUUUUAUGGCUGCAUAGUAUUCCAUGGUGUAUAUGUGCCACAUUUUCUUAAUCCAGUCUAUCAUUGUUGGACAUUUGGGUUGGUUCCAAGUCU
This 923-nucleotide long non-coding RNA is filed under the name Homo sapiens (human). Its description in RNAcentral is "non-protein coding lnc-KDR-4:1". Lineage: Eukaryota; Metazoa; Chordata; Mammalia; Primates; Hominidae. The record is from RNAcentral.